GCUGAUAUAGCUCAGGUGGUAGAGCGUCACAUUGGUAAUGUGGAGGUCACGGGUCCGAGUCCCGUUAUCAGCU
Molecule: transfer RNA, 73 nt
Filed under: Lachnospiraceae bacterium
Lineage: Bacteria; Bacillati; Bacillota; Clostridia; Lachnospirales; Lachnospiraceae
Description: tRNA-Thr
Rfam family: tRNA
About the family: Transfer RNA (tRNA) molecules are approximately 80 nucleotides in length. Their secondary structure includes four short double-helical elements and three loops (D, anti-codon, and T loops).
Source: RNAcentral